RNAcentral lists this long non-coding RNA (3244 nucleotides) under Sus scrofa (pig). RNAcentral describes it as "lncRNA (ENSSSCG00005001674.1)". The record is from RNAcentral. Lineage: Eukaryota; Metazoa; Chordata; Mammalia; Artiodactyla; Suidae.
GCCACAGCCACUUGAGAUCUGAGCCACGACCUACACCGACAUACGUGGCAACGCUGGACCCUUAACCCACUGAGCAAGGCCAGGGAUCGAACCUGCAUCCUCAUGGACACUGUUGGGUUCUUUACCUGCUGAGCCACAACAGGACCUCCCCAUUGCCUCUUUUUAGAAGAGGAAACGUAGACUUGGAGAGGCCAAAUAAUAUAAUUACCCUAAAAUCACUCAGCAAGGAAGUGGUAGGGAUAUUUGAAUAUGAUUACAGUAGGAAUCUGGUCCUUGCACCCCAGGUGCCCUCUAGUCAUUUGUGGAGACAGAAAGACCCAAAUGCAGUUCACUGUGGACCGUGUGUGAUAGAUGCCACCAUGGCUAGAAAAACUGUGGGGAGCAGGAGGGACCAGCAGCUUAUGUAACAUUCUCUGGGGGAUGAUUUUGCCCCCAAGGGCCAUGUGGCAAUGUCUAAAGCCACUGUGGGUUGUCACAACCUGGGAAGGAGGGGUAGAUGGCUACUGCCACUAGUGAGCCAGGGACACUCCUUCAAGGUACAGGACACUCCCAGCCCUGCAACAAAUGUUACUCAGCUGGGAGUCCCCACUGUGGUACAGUGGGUUAAGGAUCCAGCAUUGCCACAGCUGUGGUGUAGGUUGCAGCUGCAGCUCAGAUUUGAUCCCUAGCCCAGGAAUUUUCGUAUGUGGGUAUAGCCAUUGAAAAAAAAAAAAAGAGUUACCCAACCCCGAAUAUAUCAGUAGUUCAGAGACAGAAGGCUGCCAGCAAAUGCCUUUUAAUCUGGGCCUUGGAGGGGACGGAGUCUCUACUAGGCAGAGAGACUCUCCAGAUCAGGGACUGGAGCCAGCAAGGCACAGGUGGCAUUUGAAAAGCAGGUUGGCUGAUGUGGGUUGGGUGGAGGGGUCAGAUUGCAAAACCCAUUUUCCCAGGCUAAGGAGAGUUUGGACUUUAUUUAAUUGGAGUUACCCAUGGGGGUUGCAUACGCAUUCUAAAGAUCUUUUUUUUUUUCCUUAAUUAAAAAAAAAAUUGAAGUGGGAGUUCCCAUAGCAGCUCGACGGUAACGAACCCAACUAGUAACCAUGAGGACGUGGGUUCUAUCCCUGGCCUCACUCAGUGGGUUAAGGAUCCGGUGUUGUCUGUGAGCUGUGGUGUAGGCUGGCAGCUGCAGCUCUGAUUUGAGCCCUAGCCUGAGAACUUCCAAGUGCCGCAGGUGAGCCCCUUAAAAAAAAAAAAGACACACACGAAAAUUAAAGUGUAGUUGAUUUGCUGUGUUUCAGCUGUAUAGCAAAGUAAUUUGGUUAUAUACAUAUGUAUACACAUAUGUGUAUAUAUAUUUUCUAUUAUAGGUUAUUAAAAAUAUUGAAUAUAGUUCCCUGUGCUAUACAGUAGGUCCUUGCUGUUUAUCUAUUUUAGAUCCAUUAGUGUCUGUUAAUCCUCAGUUCCUAAUUUAACCUUCCCCUCUAAAGAUAAAUUGUUGCUUUUAAAUUAACCCACAGGGGAAGUUCCUUUUGUGGCUCAGAAGUUAAAGGACCCGACUAGGAUCCAUGAGGAUGUGGGUUCAAUCCCUGGCCUCGCUCAGUGGGUUAAGGAUCCAGCAUUGCCAUGAGCUGUGGUGUAGGUUGCAGAUUCGGCUCAGAUCCCGAGUUGCUCUGGCUGUGGUAUAGGUCGGCAGCUGUAGCUCCAAUUCGACCCCUAGCGUGGGAACUUCCACAUGCCAAGAGUUCAGCCCUAAAAAGCAAAAAAUAAAAAUUAAUGCAUGGGAAAUUCAAAGAGCACAAAUCUUAAGUCCUUUCCCAUCUCUCACCCACGGCUUCCCCAGAAGUGACGGUGCCAAAUCUGUUUCUUGGUGUCUUUUCUGAGCUGAUCUGUGCUAUAUGUGUGUAUAUUGUAUCUUAGGGUUGAUUUUAAAUUUUUUCGGAUUACAAAUGCAUUUCCUGUCCGCCGUGGAGAAGCCCAUCAAAAUGGAAAUAGGUGAUGUGGAGAAGAUAGCUUGACUCGCACCCCAGGCUGCACCCCAACACUAACACCGACAGCCGAGCAGGGGAAGCCUUGCUGUUAGGAGCCUCACAGCUUGAAGCUGUGUUUUGGAGAGAAAGCGGGGUACUGGGGAGGGUGAAGCUGGAAGGCUGGGAAUGAUUUCUGAGGCUCCUGCAGCAGCUGAGGCAAGCGGCCAGCGCCUCGGCCAGAGUACACAGGAGGAGAAGGUCAGGCCAGAUGUUCAGGAGGGAAAUCAUCCAGGCCUCCUCCUGACUGGACGAGAGGGGAAAUGACCUUCGCUUCCAGCCCUUGGAGAAUUAACUGUCCCCUUUGGGAGGCCAGGGAGUUUGGAGGAGGAAGGAAUCAGACAGCUGUGCUGGGUCCCAUCCCAGACGCCUGGUCACAUCCAAGGCAGGGUCUGGUGUGGCCUCCCAGUCCAGAGCCUGGCUUUCAGGAUGGGAGGCUACUAGUUCACGCAGGACAGAAAAGCUGGGACAGUGACGUCUAACCAACCUCACCAGGAACUGAUAAGCUGGUCAGUCCAGAUGCUAAUGAUUCGUCUCAAGGUAUUUGCAGCAAGAUUCUGCCAUGGGUAGAGCACAGAGCCGAUCUGUAGAAAUAAAGUUGGCCAGGAGCUGUUCUGUGCCACUUGACAGAAGGGACUUGAGCAUCAGAGGAUUUUGGUAUCUGAGGAAGGUUCUAGAACCAAUCGCCUGUGGAUUCUGAGGCAUGUAGGACUGUAUAAGGUGAACCACACAUCCCAGUGUAGAGAGAAACUCUAUUGUUUUUCCUUACACUCCACAUAACAAUCCAUGUCUGACACUUCCAGUCACCAAAUGUAUUCGGGCUUUCCCCACAACAAGCAGUUGUCCAGUUCUCCGUGGCUCAGAAAAGAGGUCCUACAAAUUUAACUCGAUUUUGACACUGUCCCACAAGACUGUCCCCACUUCAACUGCAAGUCCAAGUUGUCACCUGUGCUUUUGACUGAAUUGGAGAUUCCCACCACCUCCUCCUCAGUUUGAUGAAUUUACUAGAGGGGCUCACAGAACACCGGAAAACCUCUUACUUAUUAGGUUUCUGGUUUAGUAUAAGCAGAUACCACUUAGGGACAGCCAGAUGGAAGGGAUGCAUAAGACAAGGUACGUGGGAAUGAAACACUGCACCUUGACAGGACUUGAACCCAUAGGCUGGGUCUCUAACUCAGCCAAAACCCGGACUGAGACUUGAAUUGACUGUUUCAUUAAAAAUCACUGAUCUGGUCUCAGGA